This is a long non-coding RNA of Bos taurus (domestic cattle), 1018 nucleotides long. The record is from Ensembl. Lineage: Eukaryota; Metazoa; Chordata; Mammalia; Artiodactyla; Bovidae.
UUGAGGUAGUAACCAUCAGAAAAAGUUUGUUUCUACACACUAGAAACAAAGCCUAGUAUGGAGUAUUUGAGAGUUGAAUUACAUUCAUUUUGGUUUUCAAAUAAUCUCAAAUCAUGUCAGUCUAAACAAGGAUACAAUGCUAAUAACUGUAACUUCUUAAACACCAACCAUUCAUCUCAUGAUCCAUACUAACAUAUCAAUUUUCUAUUGAUAUGAAACAUUGAUUCAAUGUUUUAACUACAGAUUACUCUCUGCAGUAAUUCUCCUUCAGAGUAACUUCAGAAAACAGGAUUGACGAAAUGCUUUCUAAUAAGCCGUCUCUGAUAUUUACUUAGAUUUGAGUUUUGAUUAAAUACUUUUCUACAUAUUUAUUACAUCAUUCCCAUGUGUUUCUUGUGUAAACUCUCAUGUUUUCUGGUGUAUGUUUACGACAAAUCUCUUCCAUCACUUGUUUUAUUACUAUGUGUACUCUCAAAUGUCUAGUGAGAUGACCGCUCUGAUUAAAGCCUUUGCCACAUUCCUUUCAUUUGUAAGGCUUUUCUCUAGAAUGAAUUACCUGAUGUUCAGUAAGACUUGAGCAGCAAGUAAUGACUUCACUGCAUUUGUUAAAUUGGUUGGACUUCCCAGUAUGAAGUCGCUGAUGAUGAUUAAGACUUGAGUUCUGUUUAAAGGCUUUGCCGCACUUUGUACAUUUAUAAGGCUUCUCUUCAGUGUGAACUCGCUGAUGUCGAGUAAGACUUGAGCUACAGUUAAAGGCUUUGUCACAUACCUUACAUUUAUAAGGUUUCUGGCCGGUAUGGAUUCGUUGAUGUUGUGUAAGAUCAGUGCCACGCAUAAAGCCUUUGCCGCACUCUGUACAUUUGAAAGGUUUCCUUCCUGAAUGGAUUUUCCUAUGUCUACUUAGAUAGGAUGAGUUAGUAAAGACUUUCCCACAUAUAUUACAUUUGUUCUCUUUCCGUGGAUUCUGAAUCCUCUGCUGUCGAGUAAGAUCUGAAGACGGAUCAGAAACUUUCCGGGG